AUCACACAUGCACGCAGAAAAUAUUGCCGCCAUGAUUCAUUCGCCGAGCAGGAAGCGGGAUGCGCAAUCCUCCGGAGGUGCCGCCGCUCUGGCAUCGUUGGAAGAGAUCCCCCGAUUGCUGCAGCUUAAUCAAUCGCUCCUCGAUGUUAUGGCACAAAAACCUGCUUCCGCCCCCCACCGUGACUCUCCACAAGAACAUAGCAUCGCUGCUGCUGGAGGCGCCUAAAUCCUCCACCGGCGAUGACGCUGGGCUGUUCCAAUCGUGUCCCCGUAGUUUAAUUAGCCCCCCCUCGACGGCCUGUGCCAUUGGUGCUGGGAUUGCCAUGUGCGUGCUUGCUGGAAGUUCUUGGUGUUUGGGUGACCCGCCCAUCCUAAUCCAAGCCAGCGGAGACACACUCUGAGGAGUUCUUCAGUUUUGGGUGACCGGCUCAUCCUAAUCCAAGCCAGCGUAGAGACCCUGAGGGCAGAUGAAGCAAAUUCAGGGGAGAUUAACAGCAUCGGGUUCCGCACCACACAAGAUGAAUGGACCUUCGAUGUUAGCGCGGUCACUCGGGCAGCAGCUUCACAACCAGCUGCAGGAGCCGAUGCACAGACACAUCCAUCAGCACCCCCCCC
Setaria italica (foxtail millet) is the source of this 615-nucleotide long non-coding RNA. RefSeq lists it as uncharacterized. NCBI's taxonomy places the organism in Eukaryota, Viridiplantae, Streptophyta, Magnoliopsida, Poales, Poaceae. The transcript is spliced from 3 exons. The record is from RefSeq and is a predicted model, not a curated record.